This 200-nucleotide ribosomal RNA is filed under the name uncultured bacterium. RNAcentral describes it as "partial 16S ribosomal RNA". It matches the Rfam family "Bacterial small subunit ribosomal RNA", at positions 29 to 222 of the family's 1533-position model. The record is from RNAcentral.
AGUGAACGCUGGCGGUAGGCCUAACACAUGCAAGUCGAACGGCAGCACAGUAAGAGCUUGCUCUUAUGGGUGGCGAGUGGCGGACGGGUGAGGAAUACAUCGGAAUCUACUUUUUCGUGGGGGAUAACGUAGGGAAACUUACGCUAAUACCGCAUGAUCUGGAGACAGCAAAGCGGCGGACCGCAAGGCGUCGCGCGACG